GGUGAACGCUGGCGGUAGGCCUAACACAUGCAAGUCGAACGGCAGCACAGUAAGAGCUUGCUCUUACGGGUGGCGAGUGGCGGACGGGUGAGGAAUACAUCGGAAUCUACUUUUUCGUGGGGGAUAACGUAGGGAAACUUACGCUAAUACCGCAUACGACCUACGGGUGAAAGCAGGGGAUCUUCGGACCUUGCGCGAUUGAAUGAGCCGAUGUCGGAUUAGCUAGUUGGCGGGGUAAAGGCCCACCAAGGCGACGAUCCGUAGCUGGUCUGAGAGGAUGAUCAGCCACACUGGAACUGAGACACGGUCCAGACUCCUACGGGAGGCAGCAGUGGGGAAUAUUCGACAAUGGGCGCAAGCCUGAUCCAGCCAUACCGCGUGGGUGAAGAAGGCCUUCGGGUUGUAAAGCCCUUUUGUUGGGAAAGAAAAGCAGCAGGUUAAUACCCCGCUGUUCUGACGGUACCCAAAGAAUAAGCACCGGCUAACUUCGUG
Molecule: ribosomal RNA, 492 nt
Filed under: uncultured bacterium
Lineage: Bacteria
Description: partial 16S ribosomal RNA
Rfam family: Bacterial small subunit ribosomal RNA
Source: RNAcentral